UACGAAGGGGGCUAGCGUUGCUCGGAAUCACUGGGCGUAAAGGGUGCGUAGGCGGGUCUUUAAGUCCGGGGGGAAAUCCUGGAGCUCAACUCCAGAACUGCCUUUGAUACUGAAGGUCUUGAGUUCGGGAGAGGUGAGUGGAACUGCGAGUGUAGAGGUGAAAUUCGUAGAUAUUCGCAAGAACACCAGUGGCGAAGGCGGCUCACUGGCCCGAUACUGACGCUGAGGCACGAAAGCGUGGGGAGCAAACAGG
This 253-nucleotide ribosomal RNA is filed under the name uncultured bacterium. RNAcentral describes it as "partial 16S ribosomal RNA". It matches the Rfam family "Bacterial small subunit ribosomal RNA", at positions 524 to 776 of the family's 1533-position model. The record is from RNAcentral.